Molecule: ribosomal RNA, 497 nt
Filed under: uncultured bacterium
Lineage: Bacteria
Description: partial 16S ribosomal RNA
Rfam family: Bacterial small subunit ribosomal RNA
Source: RNAcentral
GACGAACGCUGGCGGCGUGCCUAAUACAUGCAAGUUGAGCGAUGAAGCUUGGUGCUUGCACCAAUUUGAAGAGCAGCGAACGGGUGAGUAACGCGUGGGGAAUCUGCCUUUGAGCGGGGGACAACAUUUGGAAACGAAUGCUAAUACCGCAUAACAACUUUAAACAUAAGUUUUAAGUUUGAAAGAUGCAAUUGCAUCACUCAAAGAUGAUCCCGCGUUGUAUUAGCUAGUUGGUGAGGUAAAGGCUCACCAAGGCGAUGAUACAUAGCCGACCUGAGAGGGUGGUCGGCCACAUUGGGACUGGGACAAGGCCCAAACUCCUACAGGAGGCAACAGUAGGGAAUCUUCGGCAAAGGACGAAAGUCUGACCGAGGAACGCCGGGUGAGUGGAGGAGGUUUUCGGGUCGUAAAACUCUGUUGGUAGGGGAGGACGUUGGUGGGAGUGGAAAGCUCAUCAAGUGACGGUAACUACCCAGAAAGGGACGGCUAACUACGUG